GUGUCAGCAGCCGCGGUAAUACGGAGGGGGUUAGCGUUGUUCGGAAUUACUGGGCGUAAAGCGCACGUAGGCGGAUUGGAAAGUAUGGGGUGAAAUCCCAGGGCUCAACCCUGGAACGGCCUUGUAAACUCCCAGUCUAGAGUUCGAGAGAGGUGAGUGGAAUUCCAAGUGUAGAGGUGAAAUUCGUAGAUAUUUGGAGGAACACCAGUGGCGAAGGCGGCUCACUGGCUCGAUACUGACGCUGAGGUGCGAAAGUGUGGGGAGCAAACAGGAUUAGAUACCCUGGUAGUCCACACCGUAAACGAUGAAUGCCAGACGUCAGGGGGCUUGCCCUUUGGUGUCACACCUAACGGAUUAAGCAUUCCGCCUGGGGAGUACGGUCGCAAGAUUAAA
Molecule: ribosomal RNA, 393 nt
Filed under: uncultured bacterium
Lineage: Bacteria
Description: bacterial SSU rRNA
Rfam family: Bacterial small subunit ribosomal RNA
Source: RNAcentral